UCCUGGCGUCAGGAUGAACGCUAGCUACAGGCUUAACACAUGCAAGUCGAGGGGCAGCGAGAAGGAAGCUUGCUUCUUGUCGGCGACCGGCGCACGGGUGAGUAACGCGUAUCCAACCUUCCCCUUAGUAGGGCAUAGCCCGUAGAAAUGCGGAUUAAUACCCUAUGUUGUUCGAUGCGGACAUCUAAGUUGAACCAAAGGUUUACCGCUAAGGGAUGGGGAUGCGUCUGAUUAGGCAGCAGGCGGGGUAACGGCCCACCUGGCCUACGAUCAGUAGGGGUUCUGAGAGGAAGGUCCCCCACAUUGGAACUGAGACACGGUCCAAACUCCUACGGGAGGCAGCAGUGAGGAAUAUUGGUCAAUGGGCGCGAGCCUGAACCAGCCAAGUAAGCGUGCAGGACGACGGCCCUAUGGGUUGUAAACUGCUUUUAUGCGGGGAUAAAGUGACGUACGUGUACGUUUUUGUAGGUACCGCAUGAAUAAGGACCGGCUAAUUCCGUGCCAGCCGCCGC
Molecule: ribosomal RNA, 512 nt
Filed under: uncultured bacterium
Lineage: Bacteria
Description: bacterial SSU rRNA
Rfam family: Bacterial small subunit ribosomal RNA
Source: RNAcentral